CAGAGUAGCUAGGAUGCGUUAAGUGCCUUACCAUGGGAUGUCGGGUAGGGACGAACACUUUUGUGGCGGUAACCUAGCGCGUCCGCUGU
Molecule: non-coding RNA, 89 nt
Filed under: pig gut metagenome
Description: THF riboswitch
Rfam family: THF (Tetrahydrofolate) riboswitch aptamer
About the family: THF riboswitch presents a pseudoknot that joins P1-P2 and the loop of P3 and two THF binding.
Source: RNAcentral